Molecule: long non-coding RNA, 1601 nt
Organism: Macaca fascicularis (crab-eating macaque)
Lineage: Eukaryota; Metazoa; Chordata; Mammalia; Primates; Cercopithecidae
Source: Ensembl
UUUUUUUUUUUUUUUUUUUUUUUUUUGAGACAGGGUCUCACUCUGUUGCCCAGACUGGAAUGCAGUGGUACAAUCUCGGCUCACUGCAACCUUCGCCUCCUACGAUCAAGCUAGUCUCCUGCCUCAGCCUCCAAAGUAACUGGGAUUACAGGCGCAUGCCACUACCACCCGGCUAAUUUUUGUAUUUUUAGUAGAGACAGUGUUUCACCAUGUUGGCCAGGCUGGUCUUGAACUCCUAAUCUCAAAUGAUCCACCCACUUCCUAGGCCUUCCACAGUGCUGGGAUUACAGAUAUGAGCCACCAUGCCCAGCCAGCAUGUUAGCUAUUUUGGUUUGGUUGGACACAACAGGAUCCCGAUGAAAAGAAAGCCAGAGUAGAAAAGAAUCUAGAAAGAUAUGCACCAAAAUAUUAAUUGAUUAUAUGACAGUGAUCAUUUUUUAUUGUUCCUAUUCUGCUUAUUUAUGAUUGCUGAUUUGGCUUUCUUUACAAUACAGUUAUAUGACCUCUAUAAGCUUACUCUAAGAGUAAUAAAGAAGAAAAGAAAAACCAGACUGCAGUGGGCUUUGUGUGCCAUUCCCCACUAGCACUGCAAGGAAAUUAUAGAAUCUAGGCUCCCCUGAAAGCACCACGCAAACCAGCUUUGCCUGUGCUUCCUGGGAUUCCUACACCAAGAAGCUUCCAUUAUGUCUCUGAUAUGGUUUAACUGUGUCCCCACCCAAAUUUGUCUUGAAUUUUAGCUCCCAUAAGCCCCACAUGUCACAGGAGAGACCUGGUGGGAGGUAACUGAAUCAUGGGGGUGGCUUUUUCCUGUGCUGUUCUCAAGAUAGUGUAUAAGUCUCAUGAGAUGUGAUGGCUUUAUAAAAGGCAGUUGCCCUGCACAUGCUCUCUUGCCUGCCACCAUGUAAGACAUGCCUUUGCUCCUCCUUCACUUUCCACCGUGAUUGUGAGGACCCCCCAGCCAUGUGGAACUGUGAGUCCAUUAAACCUCUUUUUCUUUAUAAAUUACCAAGUCUUGGGUAUUUCUUCAUCGCAGCAUGAAAAUGGACUAAUACAGCCUUCACAUCAAGAGAGAAAGGGACCUUGCACAGAAGUUUUCUGUGUUCUUGGUGGCCUGUGGGGUCCCAAGGAUUCACAUUGCAAGGCCAUUUGGCAUCCACACUCCACACGAGGCAAGUUCAUCAGUUUCGUCCAAUACCUUCCUCAUGGCCAGCCAUUGGGUAGAUUCAGGCUGCUCUUGGCCCCAGCACCUCUCUCUGGGGGCUCACAGUAUAGAAAGGAGCUGGCACAGGCACUUCUGUUAGCAGGUAGGAGGUAUGCAUUCAUUCAUUCAUUUGGUGACUAUUUAAUGAGCCUUUUAUGUGCCAGCCCCUGAAUGAGGAAUGGGGCUAUUGUGAGGCUCUAGUGGGCUAAUGCUCAGCCAUCAGCUACAAGAUCACAUGCGGGUGGGCUUCUGCUGCCCUUCAGGUCUAUCCUCUGCCCUUCUCCACCCUACUUUAUGCCCAGAAGUCUGACCUGUGAGCGCUACGUUAACAUGCCCUCUCGCCUCUGGCUUCCUGUUGGCUGGACCAGUUGAACAGCCAUCGCAGGAAAGUGGAGAGAGG